RNA transcript from Conger conger (European conger), 6516 nucleotides. It is a transcript of the gene named interleukin 11 receptor subunit alpha, with no coding region annotated. The transcript is spliced from 13 exons. The record is from RefSeq and is a predicted model, not a curated record. Lineage: Eukaryota; Metazoa; Chordata; Actinopteri; Anguilliformes; Congridae.
AGUUACUGCAAACACUGCCAGCGCCCCUCCCCCAUACCCUGGAAUCCUACUCCCGUACUUGACAGGAGGCCGUUCCAAUAUAUUUUUUUCUCUUUCGGAUCUCAUCGUAUCCUGCCGUGGGGUUUCUGAGUACGAGGACAAAACUUGGAUAAACAAAUACUAUGGACGGAUAUACGAAGAAAAUACUUCUUUAACCAAGGGGUGUAUUCGACCCAGAUUUAGUACGAUGCCCGGUAAAGCGCCAUGUCCCGGAGGUCUGAUAGUCAUUGGCAUCAUGGCUCUCUGCGCUGCCCAUACCCGCUCGGAGAUAUGGAGCAAUGAAGUUUCAGACACGGAGUACGGGAAGCUGGGAUCCAAUGUCACGCUGGUGUGUAAGCCCUCCUGGACUGGGUAUCCUGUGGAAUGGCGGUUGAAUGGCAGCGCAGUGUUACCACGGCAGACGCUGCCGUCCAAUAGCACGCUGACGCUCAUCAACACUGACCUAUCCAUGGAGGGCAACUACAGCUGCCUGGACCAGAAGGGCAACCUGCUCUGGGCCACCAAACUCAGGCUGGGCCACCUGCCUGGUCUCGUCAGCAUCUCGUGUUGGAUGUUUAACCACCAUAGCCUCCACUGUUUCUGGGAGCAGUCAGUGAAGACACACCUGCCCACCAAAUACCUGGCCUCCUACAGGGAUUGGUCAAACAGGGUGGAGCCGUGCCUCCAGGACUCCUCCCGGCCGAACAAGUGCACGAUCCUGGACCCCUCUACGUGGCAGCACUACCACACAAUCAACAUCACCGAGCUCAACCCCCUGGGCACGGAGACCACGCUAGCUCGAGUGCAGCUACAUGACCUGUUGAAACCGGACCCCCCAGAGGAGGUGACCCCAGAGGCAGUGGUGGGGCACCCCAGGAGGCUGCUUGUGCGAUGGAGAUACCCCUCCUCCUGGCCCCUGCACGACUCUUACCCGCUCUGCUUCCAGCUCCGCUACCGGCCCCUGGGCUCCAUCCACUGGUCCCUGGUGAACAGCUCCCAGCUGUCCCUGGUGAUCACAGACGCGCUGGCGGCCCACGCCCACCAGGUGCAGGUGCAGGCGAUGGACGCGCUGUUGUACGGCCACUGGAGCGACUGGAGCCGGGAGGUGCAGGGCUGGCCCUGGAGGGAACCCAAGCCCGAUCCUGAAGUGUCCGAACCUCCUGAUGAAAUUCCUACCAUUCCGGAUUAUACAGAAAUGGAGAGCUCCACUACCAGAUCACCAGACGCAGACGGAGUGGCGUACAGGAGCCUCGGGGUGCUCAUCUCUCUCGGCCUGUUUGCGGGGGUCUUCCUGUCCAUCCUCUCCGCUCUCAUCGUCUUUCUCUGGGUUAGGCAGAGGCAACGGGGUGGGAUAACAAAGCAAGAACUGACCUCAAUGGUGAAGAUGAAGUCCCUGCCGUUAUAAGUUUAUUUUCGUGCCAUGCCUUGGCCAAUGAGGGAGCCUGAGCUCUGAGGUCAUUCCCAGACGGGUUUGGCCGUUUUCCUCACAUUCCUCACGCCGAUGAUUAGAUGGCCGGAUUGGUGCACUCCCAACGCAAGCCCCCCCUUUGGGUGUCCUGAAAGGGGAGCGCUACCACUGCCAGCAAUCAGGGCAGACAUUACCCACAACCCACCUGGCUCCUGUGCCUUCUGGCUGCUAUUCCUGGGUCCACGUCCUUCCAGUGGAUUUUUUUUUUUACUGUGAACUUUUAACUUGUACAACCUCUUUAGCACAAACAGCCGAUAAGGAAAAUGAUCACAUUCAUGGAUUCACUUCACAAACUGACCUGAACCAAAAAAAAAAGAAUAUCGCUCUUGGUUCUCGAUUAUUUUUUGUAUCUUUAUUAUUAUUUUUUAUCUGAAUACACAUUUAUAGAAAAAGGUUUGUUUGGCAUUUCAGCUUUGUGACUACUGGUCCUGCUUGUGGUCCUAGUGGACCGCUGAGAAAGGAUGAAGUUCACUCUGUCAACGGAGAGCAGUGUUUUGGGCAUUACUGACUGACACACUUUUAUUUUUGUAUCGGAGUAAAAAGAGAAGAUGGAUGGAGAAGAAUGCUUGCCGGGAGGCUGCUGCUAUCUGUUAUGGAGAGAGGAGGUGUGCUGUCAGCGUCACCAUGGUGCAUGCGCAAGCAGAACCAGGGCUGAUUUUAAUGUGCCACAGGACACCUUAACCCCUACACGCAUGCCAACCCAUGGAAGGUUGGGUUGGGUUACCCUAACCCUGACCCCCCACAUGGAUGUAGUUUGUGUUACAGAUGGAAGGUUGGGUUGGAUUGGGUUGGGUUACCCUAACCCCCCACAUGGAUGUAGUUUGUGCGACUGACGGAAAGUUGGGUUGGGUUGGAUUGGGUUGGGUUACCUUAACCCCCCACAUGGAUGUAGCUUGUGUGACUGACGGAAGGUUGGGUUGGGUUGGGGAAGUCUUUUUUUUCUCUACCUCCUUGUGCUCCUUCCGUCCUGGCUUGUGGAAGCCCCAGUUUGGAUGAAGUGAAGCUCAUCGUCUUUCCGCCCCAAUGGACUGCUUGACCGUAGGAUAGGGGAGAGAACACGUCACCGUGGGCCUUCCUGUUCAUUUCACAUUGCAUCAAAACCAGGAACUUCAUUUUCAGUUCUUCGGUUGAACAUUGACUUGAGUGAUUCAGACUUUUUACAAAGGGACUAAGAGGAAUGUGAUUCCAUUUCAAAACUGUCUCUUGGAUGUAUGACUCAUGAGAAGGGUCACAUGAUCAGAUGAGGUCACAUUAAGUUGAUUCCCAAAGGGCCUGUCAUCACAUUACUGUUGGGGGGAAAAAAACAAUCAUGCUUCUGCAAGAGAACGCAAUUGUGAAGUUGUGAAGGGAAAAAUGUAAUUGGGAUUGUUUCAUUGUUUGUGUCAAUACAAAAAACAUGAUGCCUUGCAUUUUUGUAAUGCCUAUCUGAUUUUCAGUGGUGGGAAAUUACAGGCGAGCAGUGAGACCCAACAGCCAGCUACUCUAAAAUGGCUGCCGCAGGUUCAACUGCUUCGUCUUCCUCCCAGGUGCUGACCUGUUCUUCAGAAUCUCUGCAUACGUCUCUUAAAUUAAGAGGGUGCAUUUCAACUCCAGAAAGUAUAAAAUCAAGAUCAUUGUAGUAAAAUAUUUGGACAUAUUCACAUUUUGAAAUGGAAUAGGCAUUUAAUUUGGCAUAAUAAUUACAAGUUCCUCUAAACAGUGAGGUGCUGUAACAUUAAAAGAUACCUAUUGCAUUGUAAAUGAACCAGCAUAUUAAGUUUCUCCUGCCAGAGCUCUCCAUCCAGACAUAGGUAUGAUAAUCACUUUAAACUUUACUAUGUAUAUUAUAUUAACCUACAAAUGAAAAGUUAUUUUAGUUUGUAUACAUAUAUAUCUGUAUAUAUUUUUUCUCUGUUGGUGUAAAAUGACUGAUCUGUUGAAUAGAUGACCCCAUAUAACUUCUGUGACAUGUACACAUGCAGUAAUGUUAAGCUUACAAUACUUUUUGCCCCAUUUAUAUAGCAUUAGCGCUGCCAUUUCUUUUAUUUUCAAAUUGGAAAAAAACAUCAAACCAGCCAAUAAGGCUUUAGGAAUUUACAUAUAGGAAGUUUAGAAAAUGGAAGACUAAUAUGAUUUCUUGCUGUUUCCUUAUGACCAUGCAAUUCUUCCAUUAGGACUUUCUUUUCAAAAUGUAUUUUCCUAUCUUUUGCCCCCUAGAAGAUCUUUAGACUAGCCAUGUAUGACCGACACCCAAGACCCUCGAGUGAAAGAUUGGCACCCACCUUUUAGGAACUCCCAGAUAGAAGUUAAAUUGAUAAAUGUGGUAAAUAUAUCAGUAAUAGGAACUAAGAAACAUGUACUGUGCUUAAAAACUAAUUUGGACAUGUUUCUGAUUUAAAGAAAGUACAGAAUAGAAACCUGUGCAUAUUAGCAGAAAAAAUAAUUUAAAACCAAGUAAAGAAACUUUAUUUUUGAGUUGGUUGCCUGAAAAUACUGUUCAGGACUCAUGCCAUUGGUGGCACAAAUAGCCGCGAAUAAAAUGUGCUCCCGGUUCAUGAAUACACAACACGUCUUUCACUCGCUAGAUUUAAUUUUGACCAGCAUACACAGUUUAAUACGUGGGCCUGCUGUUUCUGGAGCUUGUAGGUUUGUGAGGACCGCAUAAGAGCCCUAUAGCAGAUAUAAUGUAAUGACUUGUUAAUGUGCUUGAGUAUCAUUUUUAGCUGAGGACUCUGCUCAUAUUAGCCGCAGAAAGAAGCACCUUGUCCAUUUGUUUUUUAUGGUGCACAGGGAGCUUCUAAAAGCAUUUUUGAAGAAUACCAACAAAUACAUUUUAGAUUAAUGUAAAAAAUGGUUUCACUCUGAAAUUGUAGAGCAAGGUUGUGUAAAAUGCUGUACUCUUUUAAUUAUUUAAGUAGCCCAAAGGUUUGUUUGAUGAGGUGUUUUCAUAUAGUCAUACAUGUUUGAUAAAGCUGCAGUUGUGAACAUGUAUUCUCUGUAAACUCAUUUGACUGUGGUCUCCUGGAGGGAUGAACCAGCAUUGAAGCUUGCCUCACCUCAGCAUACCUCACGCUGUGUACGCUUGCUUUUUAUUGCCCUUUCUGAUUGGAUAACAAAGUUUGAGAUUAUAAAUCCAGUUUGCAUAAUGAUUGAAAGUGCUUGGGUUGGUGAGUCUCCUGGGUUCUGACACUUCAUGUCAGAACAGUGAAAAGAAAGUUGAGUUUCUUAACACUGAAGUUUCUUGUAGUUCAGUUUUUGCUGCCAUUGAGUCGGGUUUUCUCUUUUGUUUUGUAAUUUGGAAUCAACUGAUAGAAUUCAUGUAUCACUUUGCAAGCGCAAGUUUUUGAUACCCACCAAAUGAACCGAUGCAUUUUCUAUUAGAACGACAGUACUCGAUUUAGUUAAAGGUAUACAAUGGUAUCAAAUGUCAGUUUGAGUUAAAUAUAGGCUGCCAAGCCAUUAACAGUUGCAUAUAAAUUACCGGAAAAUGUCUGGAAACAUGGACAUUAAAUGUAAACAUUCAACAAGUUUAAACUAUUUAUCUCGGCUGUUUUUCUUAUCCAAUGGCAAUGUUGUUAGAAAUUGAGGCAACAUGUCAUGCUUGCAUGUUAUUAGAAUUUGCGUCCAGAACAUUUCUUGUACAAACAGUGAUAUUUUAAGGCAGGUGUAUGUUAAGCAUUAAAGUGCUUUUGAUUGCUAUUAGACUGGAGAAGUUGCUUGAGGGUUUUCUGUUGUUGUUGAAGGAUGGAGAAUGUGAAGAUUCAGGUUUUAAAAUGGUAUUCUGGGGCAGCUACACCCACUUCAAAUUUCAGCAGAAACAACCGUUUAAUUUGUCAGAACUAGCUUUGGAAGGAAUUGUGAAUAAACCACCUGCCAAUAACUGUGGAAUUGACGGACAUUGUUUUUAAGCAUAGUGCAUAGGUAUGUGAGUUUCUGCUUGAACUUUCCCAUUGAAUUUGUGUUGGACUGAUACAGUACGUGCUAUUUAUGACACGUGGUAGUCGUGUUUUAAUGCGCGAUUAUUCAAAAAAUUUCCAUGAAUAGACACCGCUUGUGGUGGUCGUGUUGAGCCGGUGCAGGCAUGCUGCUGUUGACUGUGGUGCAGCGGAGCGCGUAGAGAUAGCGUUUAUGCUGUCGUCCCGUUUUCCGUAGCGGCAGCGACUUGGUGAAAAAACGCUUGCCCAUACCACACACUACAGAGAGAAAUUCCAAAACAAACGCGAUCUUUUCCCUUUUCUGCCGCGUGUUUCUUUGUGAUGUGUCGAGCUCUCUCUAGUAGGUGACUCAGUCACCACAAUGGUCGGAUUGCGUACGUUCUCUUGUUUGUACAGAACCAGACUCAGCAAGGCAUGGUUGCUGUGGUUACUCUGGGUGGCCAUUUUCAUUUCUGUUGGAACUGAUUUCAAAGCCAAAGGCUCAAGGGAAGAAACACACUCAGGUUAUCCUGACAAUGAUACUACACGUAGAAACCUAAUAUAAGUAAGUCAGACUGAGAAUUCACCUUUGUUAUUGAAUGAUAAACACUCCAAACACUAAAAGUAGGAAAUGAGAGAACAAAAGUGUGUUGCUGUGUCUGGUCUUUUGAACUGGGUCAAGAGGUUUUGUCAACAGUGUAUAUAUAAAAUUUCUUUUUAGGAUUAUACAUUUCAUUCAUUUCAAUUGAAUAGUUUUUGUUGGGCUACUAUAAAAUUUUAUCCAUACUACCGAUAAGGAAAAUCCCCCAGUUGUCUGUGCUGUAUAAAUAAUUCAGGAAAAUGUAUCUUAUUGUGUAGCUACCCAGCCUAAGACAAAACAUUCUCACAAUGUUGAUGCAGAACAUUCCAGUAAUGUUGUGAGAAUAUUUUGCUGGUAGUUCAUCAGUUCCAUAUGAUUGGUAGCCCUUGGUUGUGUGUCUUUGGCACGAAACAUUUUAUUUUCAUAAAUGGAGCUGAAAAUGAGCCCAUAUUAAAUGACAAUAAGUAUGCUUACUAUGUGUGUACGACUAUAUAAGAAAUAAGCUCUUUUAUAAUUAUCUGUGUUUGUACUUAUGUGAAAUAAAUGCUAUUUUAUCA